AAGUCGUAACAAGGUUUCCGUAGGUGAACCUGCGGAAGGAUCAUUAUUGAAUACUGAAUCGGUUCUGAUGCUGGCUCUUUACUGGGCAUGUGCUCGUCCGUUCAUAUUUACCUUCUCUUGUGCACAUUUUGUAGUCCUUUGGAACAAGUGAAUUUCGCGCUGCUGUGAUUAACUUCGCGGUGGUUGCGGUUUGGGGGAUUGGGUGUAACAGCCCUUCCUCUGUUCAUGCGCGCUGCUGCGAUUUACUUCGUGGUGACUGCGGUUUGGGGGUUGAGCGUCAGCACUUCCCCUGCUUUUGCUUUUUUCAAGGCUACGUUUUCAUAUACCCUAUACAAUGUUACAGAAUGUCUUUAAAGAUUGUGCUUGGUCGCAGUCAUUAAACCUAUACAACUUUCAGCAACGGAUCUCUUGGCUCUC
Molecule: unclassified non-coding RNA, 417 nt
Filed under: air metagenome
Description: partial contains small subunit ribosomal RNA, internal transcribed spacer 1, and 5.8S ribosomal RNA
Rfam family: Eukaryotic small subunit ribosomal RNA (bases 1-46)
Source: RNAcentral